This 261-nucleotide ribosomal RNA is filed under the name uncultured archaeon. RNAcentral's name for it is "partial 16S ribosomal RNA". It matches the Rfam family "Archaeal small subunit ribosomal RNA", at positions 748 to 1009 of the family's 1478-position model. The record is from RNAcentral.
UAGCCGUAAACGAUACUCGCUAGGUGUCGGCCACGGUGCGACCGUUGUCGGUGCCGUAGGGAAGCCGUGAAGCGAGCCACCUGGGAAGUACGGCCGCAAGGCUGAAACUUAAAGGAAUUGGCGGGGGAGCACCACAACGGGUGGAGCUUGCGGUUUAAUUGGAUUCAACGCCGGAAAUCUUACCGGGACCGACAGCAACAUGAAGGCCAGGCUGAAGACUUUGCCGGAUUAACUGAGAGGAGGUGCAUGGCGUAGUCGUGU